UGAUUGCAAACAAAUGUUGUUAUUUCUAUUAUGGAUUCGAUUAUGGUUGUGCAUGGGUUGUUUAACAUAUGAGCAAAGUGUGGUUAGAUAUUGGUUUAAAAUACAAUAAUUAUUUGUUGGUUCAGCAUGAUUGUGUUGUGUUGAUUGUGGUUAAUGAUUAAAACUACCUAUAAUAAUCAUUACUUGGUAGGAAUUGUGGAUGAGGUUUUAUGUAUUUAUUUUGUUUAUCUCAAUAUGAUUGUGUUGAAUGAAGAUUUUAUAAUGUAAAAUUCACUUUUAAUAUAAGGAGCACAGUGUUCCUGGGAUGGUUAAGUGAAAUUUUUGAAAUGUAGAAUUCACUGUUAAUGUAAGCUGAAGAUUGGAGUAUAUAGAAAAUCGAUUGGACGGAAUCGGUUCAUUGUUGAUAUUUGCAAGCAUGAAAAGCUUUUGCACCAAAGGUAUUAUUACUAGAAGUAGAAUUUGUCCUUUUGUGUUUUUGACUGAAUGAUAUAUAGUAUUGAUGCAAAUGUAUUAACUUUUUGGGAAUUUUUUUAUAGGUUAUUAUACUAAUUUUUGCAAGAUUGCUCAAUUUAAAAAGUAUUCAGUUCCAAUGGGACAUGAUAUACUACUUAUCUUAUUAGUUUUUUUUACAGUUAUGUGUUUAAACUGAGUAAACAGGUUUGGAAAGAACAAUACCAACUUCUACCGGAACAUGGAAGCACCGCUCCACUUGACUCUCCUACUUUAAGGUAAAAAUAUCUUAUCAUUCUAUUAAUUUUUAAAUUUAAUAUUUGAUAUAACCACCAAAAUAGAGAAAAAGAAGGGUGGAUGUAAGAGAGUUAUUGGAUUUUGAAUUUGGAAGUUAGAGAUUUGGAGAGAGAUGGAAGGGAGGGCUAGGUCUAGGUCAUAGAUUAUUUUUUAUAGGUUCUAAAUAUAAAUUUAUAAGUAUUAUAUAUAUUUAUAUUUAUAUUUAUUAUAAAUAUCUAAAUAUAUGUAUUUAUAUUUAAGAGUAGCGUAAAUUAUAAUCAAUAAAAAUUAAAUUAAUAGUACAAAAUAGUCCAUCAGUGCACAUUAGUUGUUGAUCCAAAAAGCAACUGCAUAAAAUAAUAGUUUUUUCAAGUAUUCAAAAAAGGGAAAAAGCAAUUUUACCCCACUGUGGUUGUAGUGUUUUAAGCAAUUACCCACUGUACUUUUAAAAUAUUCAAUUAGCCCACUGUACUUUUUAAAAAUGUUCAAUCAAGCAAUUUCGUCCAAUUUCUUGGACGGACGUCAAAUAAUUACACACGUGGCAUUGAAAAAAAUUUCAAAAAAUCAAUAUUUUCUGAUGUGGCAACACAAAAAAAUAAUAAAAUAAAAUCAUUGAUAAAAUAAAAAUUUUAAUUCAUUUUUUAAUAAUUUUUUCAUUUCCUAUUUUCUUUCUCCUUCAAAANNNNNNNNNNNNNNNNNNNNNNNNNNNNNNNNNNNNNNNNNNNNNNNNNNNNNNNNNNNNNNNNNNNNNNNNNNNNNNNNNNNNNNNNNNNNNNNNNNNNUAUAUAUGUUUUUAUAUACAAUAAUAGAGCACUCUGACUACUAAUUAAGAGUAGCAUAAAUUAUAAACAAUAAAAAUCAAAUUAAUAGUACAAAAAAGUCCAUCAGUGCAUAAUAGUUGUUGAUCCAAAAAGCAACAACAUAAAAUAACAGUUUUUUCACCCUUGGCUAAAGAGAACCCAUGGUCAUGAUCAUACCAACAACUGUCGCUGAGACUCAGCUCAAUAAAUAAUCCACAUCACUUGUAACAUUACAGGUCAUGAUUAUACCGAAUAAUCUCUGGUCAUAAUCAUACCAAUCAACAGUCCAUCUAUGCACUACGGGCCAAAGAUAACUUUCAUUACAAUAUAAACAUGAGGAUGAUGACAAUGAUAUAAAAAUUCAAUCAAACGAGAUCUAGGAUAAAUAUUAAAGACUUUAAAUUUAUCCAGAGUUUAAAAAUGUCCAAAUUGUCAACACGAUACUGCUUUGUGGAGUAAAAUUUAAGAAUAAUAUUCACGUAUCAAAAAUAAUUUGGGCAGAAAAGAAUCAAUUUUUCAUCGUGAAUAGUACUCCGGGUGAAUAGUAUUUGAGUGAAUAGUACUUCGUAUAUAGUACCCCGUGAAUAGUAUUUCAUGAAUAGUACCUCGUGAAUAGUACCCGUGUAAAUAGUCCCCCGAAUGAAUAGUACUCUGAGUGAAUAGUACCCGAGUGAAUAGUACGCUGACAUAAAUAGUAUCCCGUUAUUUAAUAAGAAAGUUUAGACCAAUAGUGAAAAUACUAGAUGAAGCACAAACUAUUAUGAAUAUUCCUCUAAUUUCAAGGGUUUUCACCAUUUAAUAAUAAGGUUAUGGAAACAAACAAUAAAUUUGUACCAUAAAUGGAGAAAUACGAAAGAAGACGAUAUCUCUUGAUGAGUACAAAAGAAAUGACAUCUCAUACGAGUAUAAAAGAAUAUACAAAACUGCAAAUGGAUUUUCACCCGUCAUGCGGUAAUUCAUGUAGACAAACUAUUUUUAUAAUUUAAUAAAGAAUGACUACGAAGGGUCAUUCACCAUGCAUGCAGUAGUCCGCGUAGACAGGUUACUCCCGCAGAUUAAUAAAGAAUGAAUACGAAGGGUCAUUCACCAUGCAUGCGGUAGUCCGCGCAGACAGGUUACUCCCGCAGAUUAAUAAAGAAUGAAUAGGAAGGGUCAUUCACCAUGCAUACGGUAGUCUGCGUAGACAUGUUACUCCCGCAGAUUAGUAAAGAAUAUAAUGACAACCCUUAUGAGUAUUGAAAAAAAAUAACAUUCUUUACGAAUACGAAAGAAUAAUACCCCUUACCUUAAUAGAAGACUGGAUACUGCAAUAGUGAAGUAGCAAAAUACUCUUCUUCUUUCUCUCUAUAGUUGCUCUUGUGAGUCUUAGUGAAUUGGUGAGAAUGAAAGAAGAAAUGAGCUUCUAUUUAUAGGAAAACAUAGUUUCGAUAAUUACACGUUUAGGGGCUCGAAUUAUUAUAAUUUAGUACCUUCAUCUUUGCCUCUAUUUUUAAUUUAGUCCUUCAAGUAUUAUCAAUCUUGCACAACCUCCCCUAAUAGUACAUGCAUGUGAACCAAUAGUUAUUUACAUGUGAACUAAUAGCAAUUAAUUGUUCAUUUAUCCGAUUAAUUACCCAUUUGGUCAAUUUAACAUCCAGAAAUCAACUGUUAUCAAAAUAAAUGUCGAUUUCCACUAACACUAAUAAUUCCAACACAAUGAAAAUAUUUUUAACAACAUUUAUUCAUCAAUAAUAUAACUUACAAUAUUAACAACCAAAUCAUUCUCAGAAAAGAGGGAGCUUUUCGAUAAGGAUUUCUCCCUAUUGGCGCACAAUUAGGUGACCAAAUCCCUUUUCCUCGACAGAACUUUCUAGACAUUGUCAAUAAUGCAAAUAAUAAUAUGAAUAACUUUGUCGUCUCAAUUAUUGAUUUAAUAAUAUAAAAUAUUAUGCAAAUAAAACUGUGACAAUAAUUGAAUAAAUAAUGUGAGAUACUAUGCAGCAGUUACUGUAGCAAUAAUUGAGUAUAACUGAGUGACUUCUCACGUAAGCAUCAAUAGUCAAAGAUACUAUACAAUACCGUGUGCUACUAUGCAACCACGCGUAUUACUGUAUUUUUACCACCGGGUAUUUCAACAGCUUAACGGUAAAACUUUUACCAUUAUUUCUAUCAUUUUCUAACUCCGACAGUAAUUUCGUUGUGGGAUCCACCAAUGAUUCUGUCGUCGUACGAAUAUUCCCUGAUAAAACGAAUAUUUCCCGAGCAAACGAAUAUUUUAUGACAACUUGCUUACUUUGCAAAAUUUAUAAAUAUUACCCACAACUAUAACAUUAUAUCAAAUCUACACCAUAAUAAAAAAAUAUUUUGAGAAAAUUAAAUCUUUAUUCAUAAAAGUUGGGGUCUUACAACCUCCCCUUCUUAUGAAAUUUCGUCCUUGAAAUUGGUGUACAUACCUGGUAUGUCGAAGAGGUGAGGGUACCUCGUUUUCAUUUCAGAUUCAAACUCUUGAGGUAUAACCUUUUGAGCGUAGAAUAUAUUCCUUCUUAUCCAAGAUUUUAACAAGUAUCUCUUCAUAUGUUAAAUCUUCCGGUAUCUCAUUUGGUUAUAAUUCAAUAAUGUGGUUUGGGUCGUCCACAUAUUUACGUAACAUUGAUACGUAAAAAAUGUUAUGAACACGCGACAUACUUAGCAGUAAGGCGAGUCUAUAGGCCAUAGUUCCUACUCGAUCGAGGAUUUCAAAUGGGCCAAUUAAAUUGAGGGUUGAGAUUUCCUCUCUUCGUUGAUUCUUGCUUCUAGAAUAACGCCUUCUUGCACUUUCUUCUUCACAUUCAUCAACUUUGAGUCUGUAGCUUGAGCGGUUUUAACUUUAUCGAUUAAAGUCGGUUCUAAUAGUAUAUUCGCUAUCAUUACGUAGGUUCUUGGAGUCUUUAACUCUAUUUCCAUCUUUUGUAAGUCGUACGAAAUGGGUCUUUGUGUUAACAACAUCGCACUCGUAAACGCAUACGAUCUUCUACUCAACGUGUCAGCUACCACGUUCGCUUUUUUAGGAUGGUAUUGAAUGGUAUAGUCGUAAUAUUUCAAAAACUUGAGCCAACGUCUUUGGCGCAUGUUACGUUUGUUUUGGGUGAAGAAAUAUUUGAGGGUUUUGUAUCGGGUUCACGGUCGAUACAAAAUUCGAUUUCACGCUCUCAGGGUAGGCUAGGAAGUUCUUCGGGAAAUACAUCAAGAAAUUUAUUAAUGAUAGAAAUAUCAUUCAAAACUGUGACUCUCAUCCAAGACUUGGAUAGCACCUGACAUUGAUACUUAUCAACUUGCCACCGUUAUUCACGGCGUCCUCUAUAGAAAGUUUGGCUUCGGUGCAUUCCACAUAAGGAAGUCACCAGAUAAAGGUUCAGGGCUCUUUACUUAUGGCUUGAUAUGACAGUGAUUAACUUUAGUGGUUUGGUUACUUAAAUUCGCAUAACAGGUUGGUUAGGAAUUUGAAAGCUAACAACCUUACGAAAAUAAUCAAUUUUAGCAUGAUGAGUAGUUAAACAGUUGAUUCCUAAAAUCACAUCAAAUGCAAGUAUUUUCAAAGAGAUACGAUCAACAGGUAACGUGAGGGUGCCGAUUUGAAUCAAACAAGACUUAUAAACAGUGGAGGUAACGAAGGUUUCUCAUAACGGAGUUUCAACAGAUAAGUCAAAGUCUAAUUUCUUCGGAGUUAACUUAAACGUUUAGCGCAAGUAGGAGAAAUAAAAGAGUGGGUAGAACCGGUAUCAAAUAAGGUAUAGAUUUCACAAGAGUUUAUGAUUAACUUACCCGUGAUAACUUCAUUCAGAUUCCUCGACAAAUGCACUCACUUAAACUAUCGCACAACUUUGACUUGUCUAGGACAGCCUUUGGUGUCACCAUCCCAGCUGGACUUGACUUCACUACACGACAAAAUCGGGCUAGGUGAACUUCUCUUUCACAAUUAAAACACGCUUUGGGUUGCUGCGUACAGUUUGGACGAAUGUGUCCCUCCUCUCCGCAUCUGUAGCAUACGACCAGUGGAUCCUAUCCAUCACCUCCAACUCUAACUGAGUAAGGAGAGCUUCCUUCUCUGUCCUUUCGCUCAACUCUCUCUGCUCCAUCUCUUCCAACUUCCCUGCCAGCUCUACAUUCCUAGCCACCGACUUAUGAAACAAAGUCCCCAUCUGGAUCCCUACCUCCUUACGGUGAACAAUCUACACCUCCAUUUCCUGCAUCACUAACUUUCUCUGAUGGUCCUCGUCCCUCAGUUUCUGGAACUCAGACUCUCUUUCCCUAGCCUCAGCCUCUAACUCCUCAACUCUGCAUCCUAACUCCAACAUUUGCUCCUCAUACUCCCCCAUCAUCUGAUCCUCGAAAGUAGCCUCGUCAGAGCCUCCUCUGGAUCAGACUCCUCGGGUAAUGGCUUUAUCUCCUCCUCCUCGUCAUCAUCAUCGAUAGGGGCCACUGCCAAUAUAGGCUCCGCUAUCAAUGGCGCCUUAAAUACCAUGUGUAUGUCACGUGGCUCCUCCCCUACUACUCGGCUUGGUCCUCCCAUGUCAGUCAUCCUAUAACCACCAACAUAAGACAAAAUAAACAACUCCUCCAUUAGAAUGUUAAAUAAACAUAAGUUCAUCGUACCUAAUGAAGUUAUAUUCCAUAACACACUAAGUCCCUCUCUAGGAAAACUCUAUAUGAGUUUCAUCCCUCUCUAUCUUCUAAGUUCUCCUAAGUUAUAAUCUAAGGACUCUCGUUCCUAAGGUUUAUAACUACAACUCUGAUACCAACCUGUGACGCCCCCAAAUUCAGACCACACUUGUCUCAAAUUUGGUUGUCACGUGCUAGCUCUAAUAACAAAUCAAAAUCUCACACAACGAAAUAAUAGAAUAAAUUACAUUGUUAUAACAUAAUUAUUUUUGUCCCAAAGUCUCGCAACCAUUACUACUACAAUACAACUUAAAUUAAACAUAGCUUAAUAUAAAUAAGUUCUUCUACAACAGAAUAAUAGUACAUUCCUAGUAUUAUGAAACUAACUACUCCAAAGCCUUUUCUUUACCCUUGUCCUUGCCAGAGGUUUCACCACGUUCUGCCUUAACUGAAAGUUUUAAGGAAAGCAAGGAUGAGCAACAAUUUUGCCCAGCAAGUAAUAUAGCAAUAAGGGUGUUCAAUGUAGUUUUAUAUUUCUCAAGGGUACAACAAUAAUAAUAGUUCAAAGAUAGAAAGAAGUAUAAAUGAUUAUCAACAAUAGUCGCUAUGGAUAGAAAUUAUCAAUAAUAUUCAACGAUUAAUCAAUUCAAGAUUUCAAAGUAAUGAAUACUGAGCAGUCACUAAGGACUAUGAACUUCUCCUAGAAUUAACAGUAAUAAACUGACAAUUCUACAAAACGAGUAUAGCAGGUGAUCAGCCUAAAGUACCCUAUGUCAUGCAUAACAUUUAAUCUUUUCAUGUGCGCACGUCGGUUUCCCGACAAUUAUAUAAUUCCCUUACCAAGAGUGUUGUUCAUCUCAGUUAUAAGAGUCCGCACCAAGUUAAUUUGGUUUGGAUAGCUUUUGAUCAAAUAUCAAUAGUCUAACCGAAGCAAAGGCUUAGACAUCUUUUUUUUUUCAAGCAUAUACAUGAACAAUUAUCGUUCGAAAUCAAGGUUUGAAAAUAAUUUCAUUUCUAAACUACAAAGUAUUAAGUCAUGAUAUAUGAAUUAUACUUUCAAAGAUUUACUUGUACGAUCAAUAAUAACACAAGUUCAAAUAAUGAUCAAUAAAGAGUAGGGUUUGAGUACUUACAUUCAAUAUAUGAAUCAAAUAAAAUGUGAGAACUUGCACAAAUCCAAAUUUGUGUAAGUUAGGAAAAUUGCUCAAUAAAAUAGAGAGUUCAGAUACUUGCCUUACGCGUGGUUUACCAAAGUAAAGCUUAACACCCUUCCAAAGAAUUAUAAUAUCCUAUUCAUGUAUAAUCACAUUAGUUAUACAAGUUUAAUCUGUACACCUGUUAUCUUAACUUACUAUGAUACACCAUUAUAAUUUAUCGGUGCCAAACAUAUAUUGCUAGUCUUCUCUUAGUCAUAUGAUCUCAUACGUAAAUCAUCACAUAACACUAAAAUCAGUUUCUAAGAUGUUAUGUCAUUUAGAGAACAGAGUUUGUCAUCGCAUUUUGACUUAAGGGUGUAGUUAUAGUAUUCUUCUAUUAUCAUACUUAUUCACACAUUUAUACUAUACUGAACAUGUACUACUGAUUAAAGUAAGAAUAUAGACAUGCAUCAACCCUCAGAUCAACAAUAGAAAUCUGAUCCUACUGCAGACUGGCGCGGCCGCGCUUGGUUUGUACUAAGGAGUGGCGCAACCGUGCUGCUCCUGGUGCAAACCAAGACAUGGCUGCUUCUGCAGAAGGUCAGUGUACACCCGUCUUGCAUAUAGAUGAAUAAUCAUGCAAAAUACACAUGUUAGUAUGUGAAUUGCUAAGUUUGACCUUAUAUCCUAACAUUAACAUAGGUAUCAUCUAUUCUCAUUUAAUCAAGACUUUAAGUGUUCAAUUCAUAAUUUUCUUACGUUUGAUCGUUAAACACAUGCUAUAUGAUCCAUAGGUCUCAACUACACAUGCUUUCAUUAGAUUAGUCAUGUAUGUCAAAUGCUAGAAUACUUGUAAUGUAGUUAUUGACAACACUAGUUUUCAAUGUUUCUUGUGAAAAUCUCAUGUUAAGCCACCAAGUAUAGCAAAGUCACUUCAUUCACUAUACAUCAUGCUCUCACAUAUACAUAUUAGAACAUAAUAACAUGCUCACAAGUUCCUAUAUAGUUUAUCAAGUUUGUAUUUGAAACUUAAGGUCUCCAUUAGUAAAACUUAUUUAAGUAUGUAAGAGAAAUCCACAUUGUCUAAAUCAUGCUUUCAUACUCAUUUGUGCACGUACUCAAGUUAUUUACAUAGGCUAGAAAGAUCAGAAUUUGAAGGCAUAAUGUCCAUCGUGCUUUGUUUUGCUAAACUUCAAGUUCUCAAGUUCUCCUUUAUAAAAUCCUUUAAAAUCAAACUAGCAAAACUUAUUAUACAUGAAGCAAACUUAUGCCUUAUGUUAGACUUGUUUACGUAUAUAUCUAGGUUAUCUACAUAUGUUCACAAGAUCAGAAAGUGUAUUACUCCAUGUUCACAAAUUCUAGUUUUCCAAAUCUUUAAAUUUUCUUUGAAUGUUUGUACUAAAACAACUAACAUGGCUUCUAUGUACCUAGCAAUCUCAGUUCACAAGUUAAGGUUGUUUAUGUGCAUAUCCUAACCAAAGUAGCAUGCUCAUCAUCAUAUUGGACCAUUAAAGCAGUAUUUGAGAAAGACACCCCGCGCGGCCGCACGAUAUUAAGCAAUAGAAGUGGCGCGGCCGCGCCACUUCGUUCAAAAACAAAAAUAAAUGGCUCUGUUUCAGCAGAACCUUAGCAUAUGUAUAGCCCAUUCUAAAACCAGACCAACUGCAUUACUUCAAAGCAUACAUAUCAACUCAGACAACACAAUGACAUGCUAAUUCAUACUAAUUUAACAGAGAAAUCAUGUAAUUGCUAAGAAUUUGACAAAACUUAACUAAGGGCAAAAACAAAAGUUAUUCCUCCUUGAAGCUUAAUUGAACUCCCUCAGUUCUCUGAUUAUACUCCUUCAAUUUCUCAGCAACUCAACUCUCUAAUGCAACUUAUCAGAUAAUUUCAAGUAACAGAGACUGAGAAGAGGAUGGCACUAUAAAUAGAGAAUUGAUUGCCCAGUUCAUGGCCUUGCACCAUGGUUUGAUUAAAAGGAAAUUGGGAUGAAACAAUGGUUAUAUAGAAGUCGGCCAACUGCCCACCUUGUAGCCAUCAUCACAGCUCUCUAGCAUCAUCAUCCUCCUUUUGGUUUUUGCUGAGUUUUACGCAAUAGUAGGGGAAUAGGCCAUUAGCCUAAUACUCGGCUAAUGACUGAGACUAUCAAAUUGGGACAAGGCUUUAAAUCUCUGUAACUAUAUUACAUAAGGCUUAGUUUGGCUCUUUGAACUCCAAGAAUGUAAUUUCAAUGUGUUAAUGCUACUACAUAAUAGAAAGUUAUAAAUUAUUUAUGUAUCCACAUCAUAUAAUCCAUGUUCAUUAGUCCAGUCCAAUUAAUUUUUAUAACAUGUAUGGACUCAAUUUAAUUGGUCACUAAUAAUUCCAUAUCAUCAUAAAACUUAAUUAUUUCAAUUAGACUUACUUAUUGAAAUAACUUGUAAUUUUUUUGAUAUAGUACAACUUUAAUGAUCCCACACAUACUUAUUGUCACAUAAGCAAUUAUUUGUGAUACUUCUAAUUUCUUCCACUUUACUAUAUAGUUUCUAUAUAUUAUAUAGUUAUACUAAAGUGUCACAAUACACUUUUUUUUUAAUGUAGGAACUAGAUGUUAACACAUAUCUCACACAUCAAUUAAAUAGAUAAUACAUACUCUAAUUAUGUAAUGUAAUUUAUUAUUCACAAUAAUAAUUAAUUAAUAAUAUAAUAUUAAUUAAUUAAUUCACUUAAAUCCCCAUUCUCAUGCCACACAAAGCAUCUUACAGUUCUCAUCAUCAAUUCCAUAUUUUCUCAAUUCUUAUAAAUUCAAUUUAAAUUAGUUGAAUUAUUCAUUUCACAAAAAAUCAAUAUUUAUAUUCCAAUAAACAUUACUUUUUCUCAUUUAAUCAAAAUAAUAUUUAUUAAUAAAAUUCACGGUUCUUACAUUAUUGCCUUCCUGAUGCACGUUGAUCGUUGGUGACUCAACGGUCUCAUGUGCUUCAUUGUUUAUCUCAGCAUUUUCAGAUGUCAUUUUCAAACACUACCACAAAACAAAGGUUAAUUGAUAUGCCAUAUAUUAUCCCUAUAUUCUGACCGACCAAUUAUAUAACAAAUAAAAUUAGGUAGGUCAUACUAGCGAAGGAAUUACCCGUCUCUCCCCUCAUAGUUCUAGUCUCACAUCUCAGCUAGGGAUCAUAUCCCUAAGCUUUGAUACCAACUGUGACGCCCCCAAAAUAGGUAUACAUUAACCAUUCUGAGUCGCCAAAUACAUGGUACAUAACUCAAAUGCAAACUUAAUUAUACAACAGUUGUGUAAAAUACGACGAAACAUAGCUGAGAGUUUUAACACGAAUAUUAUCUUCUAGACAGUAUCCAAACUCAAAUGGAGUCCUCAUUACAAUUAUUAUCACACUAUUUCACAGAAUAGUGAGGACUACUACAGCCACCAUCUGGACCGUCACUCCAUUCCCUGACUAGUCCCGACUACGUUCUCAUUUCCUGAAGAGAACAGUGAAAGAAAAGGGUGAGCUCAACUAGCCCAGUAAGAAAUAUUAUGACUAAGCUAAUGCAAGAUAAAUUAUUGUUAGCCUUCAACAAUGUUAAACUGUUAGAAUAUAAUAAACAACAAGUUUAACUGCAUUGGAACAAAUAAUUCAUUAAAAGAGUCAAGUAAAGCAUGAUAUCUUUAUUAUUUAAAAAGUUUAUCAUAAAUUUUAUCGCUGAGACUCAGCUCAAUAAAUAAUCCACAUCACUGAAUUAUCCUUGCACUACGGGCUAAUGAUAUUCAUUAGUAUCACGUCCACGAAUUAUUCAUGCACUAUGGGCCAAGGAUAUUCGUGUAAUCACCAAUGGUCAUGAUCAUGCCAAACAACAAUUCAUCUUUGCACCCUUAGCCGAAAAGAACCCAUGGUCAUGAUCAUACCAACAACUGUCACUGAGACUCAGCUCAAUAAAUAAUCUACAUCACUUGUAACAUUACAAGUCAUGAUUAUACUGAAUAAUCCCUGGUCAUAAUCAUAUCAAUCAACAGUCCAUCUAUGCACUACAGGCCAAAGAUGACUUUCAUCACAAUAUAAGCAUGAGGAUGAUGACAAUGAUAUAAAAAUUCAAUCAAACGAGAUCAAGGAUAAAUAUUAAAGACUUUAAAUUUAUCCAGAGAUUAAAAAUGUCCAAAUUGUCAACAUGAUACUGCUUUGUGGAGUAAAAUUCAAGAAUAAUAGUCCCGUAUCAAAAAUAAUUUGGACAGAAAAGAAUCAAUUUUUUGUUAUGAAUAGUACCCCAGGUGAAUAGUACCCCAUGAAUAGUACUUCGUGAAUAGUACCCCAUGAAUAGUACCCCGAGUGAAUAGUACCCGAGUAAAUAGUACCCCGAAUGAAUAGUACCCCGAGUGAAUAGUACCCCGACAUAAAUAGUAUGUCGUCAUUUAAUAAGAAAGUUCAGAUCAUUAGUGGAAACACUAGAUGAAGCACAAACUAUUAAGAAUAUUCCACUAAUUUUAAGGGUUUUCACCAUUUAAUAAUAAGGUUAUGGAAACAAAUAAAAAAUUUGUACCAUAAAUAGAGAAAUAUGAAAGAAGAUGAUAUCCCUUGAUGAGUACAAAAAAAAUGACAUCUCAUACGAGUAUGAAAGAAUAUACGAAAUUGCAAAUGUAUUUUCACCCGUUAUGCGGUAAUUCGCUUAGACAGACUAGUUCCACAAUUUAAUAAAGAAUAAUUACGAAGGGUCAUUCACCAUGCAUGCGGUAGUCCGCGUAGACAGGUUACUCCCACAGAUUAAUAAAAAAUGAAUACAAAGGGUCAUUCACCAUGCAUGUGGUAGUCUGCGUAGACAGGUUACUCCCGUAGAUUAAUAAAGAAUGAAUACGAAGGGUCAUUCACCAUGUAUGCGGUAGUCCGCGCAGACAGGUUACUCCCGCAGAUUAAUAAAGAAUAGAAUGACAACCCUUAUGAGUAUUGAAAGAAAAUAACAUUCUUUACGAAUACGAAAGAAUAAUACCCCUUACCUUAGUAGAAGAUUGGAUACUGCAAUAGUGAAGUAACAGAAUACUCUUCUUCUUUCUCUCUAUAGUUUUUCUCUCUAUAGUUGCUCUUGUGGAUCUUAGUGAAUUGGUGAGAAUGAAAGAAGAAAUAAGCUUCUAUUUAUAGGAAAACAUAAUUUCGAUAAUUGCCCAUAUAGAGGGCUCGAAUUAUUACAGUUUAGUACCUUCAUCUUUGCCUCCAUUUUUAAUUUAGUCCUUCAAGUAUUAUCAAUCUUGCACAAUCUCCCCUAAUAGUACAUGCAUGUGAACCAAUAGUUCCAUGCAUGUGAACCAAUAGUUAUUUACAUGUGAACUAAUAGCAAUUAAUUGCUCAUUUAUCCGAUUAAUUACCUGUUUGGUCAAUUUAACAUCCAUAAAUCAAUUAUUAUCGAAAUAAAUGUCGAUUUCACUAACACUAAUAAUCCCAACACAAUGGAAAUAUUUUUAACAACAUUUAUUCAUCAAUAAUAUAACUUGUAAUAUUAAACAACCAGAUUAUUCCCAGGAAAGAGGGGGCUUUCCGAUAAGAAUUUAUCCCUAUUGGCGCACAAUUAGGUGACCAAACCCCUUUCAUCGACAGAACUUUCUAGACAUUGUCAAUAAUGCAAAUAAUAAUAUGAAUAACUUUGUCGUCUCAAUUAUUGAUUUAAUAAUAUAAAAUAUUGUGCAGAUAAAACUGUGACAAUAAUUGAAUUAAUAAUGUGAGAUACUAUGCAGCAAUUACUGUAGCAAUAAUUAAGUAUAAUUGAGUGACUUCUCACGUAAGCAUCAAUAAUCAAAGAUAUUGUACAAUACCGUGUGAUACUAUGCAACCACGCGUAUUACUGUACUUUUACCACCGGGUAUUUCAACAACUUAACUGUAAAACUUUUUCCAUUAUUUUUAUAAAAAGUUAUUUCUGUCGUUUUCUAACUAACAAUAAUUUCGUUGUGGGGUCCACCAAUGAUUAUGCCGUCGUACGAAUAUUCUGUGAUAAAACGAAUAUUCCAUGACCAAACGAAUAUUUUAUGACAACUUGCUUACUUUGCAAAAUUUGUAAAUAUUACCCACAACUAUAAAAUUAUAUCAAAUCCACACCAUAAUAAAAAAAAUAUUUCAAGAAAAUUAAAUCUUUAUUCAUAAAAGUUGGGGUCUUACACACAUAAUCUUGUCAUGUAUUCUAGGAUUAAGCAUAUAGAAAUAAGAUAUCAUUUUAUUAGGGAUCAUGUCCAAAAUGGAACUAUAUCUUUACAAUACAUCCCUACUGAAAAUCAACUUGCUGAUGUCUUUACAAAACCUUUAGAUGAAUCCAGAUUUAAUAAAUUGAUAAGUGAGUUAGGUAUGCUAAAUCUACAACCAUAAACUCUAUGCUCUUGUUUGUGCUAACCAUGCAAAUAAAAAGGCUAUAUUAAAAUCGUAGAGAUGACUACAGAGAAACCAUGAUCGUAGAGCAGUCUUGACGUGACAGAGAAGCAUCCUGUGAUGACAUCAUUCCUAUCAAAUCCAAGCAACCCUUCUGAUAAGCACCUUAGAGACAAACUUGACCCUUAGUUCAGUCUAAGAUGUUGGCCCUUCCUGAGCUACCCUAACCCAGACGGAAUGCUAAGGCUCAUCAUAGGGACCAGGACAAAUAAUGAUCAUAUAGAAUAAUCAGUAGUGAACUCAACAAUCGUAGAGCAGCUUCGACAAUCGUAGUCUUUCUAAAUGAUACACUAGCUCAGGGGGAGCUGAGGGCAUAUCAGUAUUUUCCACAUUAUUUAAAAUUGUGGAGCCCGACAGAACUCGACACGUGCCCCCACUAUGCAGAUCAUGUGGAGGGAAGUUACAAAUAUAGUUUGAAAAGGCUUUUUGAAAAUUCACCUCAGAAUUUUAAAAUCUCAUUCCUCUCUCUUUCUCUAUCAACAGAAACCCCAACUUUCAGAACGAUCAACCAACCUCCGUUCAAGAAAAUCAAUGGAUGCUUCCAAUGUUAUAUCUGGUUACCAACUCUAGUUCAACGAAUUCAAGACAGCUGACCCUCAGUUCCACAAGAUUCUAUCUCUUCUGAAGAAAGCUGGUCUUGAAGAAGCUCUGAGAACCAGCACAAGGAUCUACCCGAAGCUGGUGAAAAAGUUCUACAGCAAUGGAGUCUUUGAGGACGACAUUAUCACUACAAGGGUUAAAGGGGAACAAAUUAAACUCAAAGCUGAAGAUAUAAACCUAGCCCUAGGUUUCAAAUUAAAGGGACUCGUAUCAAUGGAUGUCAUCGACUUCCAUGAAGGUCUGAAGAAGAUACAUCACACGAAGUUUCAGAAUGUCAAGGGGUACAAGAAGAAAGAGUUUCCCCAGAAGUAUGGAUUUCUGGCUGACAUUGUUGGGAAGUGCAUAUGUUGUAAAAGCUCUGGCCACGACUCUGUAAAUGAAGUUCAACUAAAGCUCAUGAUAACAAUCUGCUUCAGAAUUCAACUCAACUAUGGGGCUCUGCUCAUAGAUUGGAUCGGGAAGUUGAUACUCAGCUCAAAGAAAUCAAAGAGCUCUGUGAAAAUGCUCUAUGGGAGGUACAUAAGCAUAAUCCUGCAAUCUACUUUGGGUGGAAAAAUUGGGGACAACAAAGGGGAACCCAUCAACCCCAACAGAAGAAUGACCCAACAGCUAUUUCAAAACUAGAAAAAAAAACCCUGCAGAAAAUGUAAGAAUGAUGUCUGAAUUCAGUGAAAGGACUAGUGAGGAAAAGGUAUCUGGGCUACCAGGAAACAUGUCUGUUGUGAAAGAAGAUGAAGAAUAAGAAGAAAUUAAUCAAGAGGAACGCAUCGCUUUGAUCAGAAAAUCAAGGGUAAGAGGAAAAUGAAAGUUCAAACAACAGAAGAGCCUCAAGGCUCAACCACUGAUGCGCCCCAAGAGAGUUUGGGCACUGAAAUUCUAAAGGAAAUAAAGAGGAAGGAGUAGCAGUCUGAAGAGGAAGAAGACAGAGCCACCAUCUCUCAGUUGCUUAAGAUAGGAAAACACAGCCACAAAAUAAAGAAGUCUUCACUCUCUUUAAUCGUAGAGUCACUACCGAUCAUAAAUUCCAGACUUACCAUCACUCUAAAAGUGGAUACUACAACAGUAUUUCAGCCUGAACCAACUAUCAUAGCUGAAGUUGAAGAAAGCACCGAGGUUGAAGCUAAGCCCAGAAAGACAAGGAGAAAGCUUGUCAAUAAAUAUGUUCUUGAAAAUGAGAAAGCCUUGAAGGAAGAAGAAAGAAAAAUAGCUGCAAAAAAGGAGCUUCCUGAAAUUCCUGCACUAGAAAAUGCUCUAACUGAGGGGGAGCUGCUUGAAGAACAAAUGAAUGAUCAGAUUGAGGGGAAGACUCUCGAAGUUCCUGUGCAAGAAAGUACUACAGAUGAGGGGGAGAUACAAGAAGAUAUAGAAAUCGAAGGUGUGAAACCUAUGGAGGAAGAAAAGGCUGAAGAUCAGACAAGAAAUGAGGAGAUAUUUGAAGUGGUGGAAAUUUUAAAUGAAGAAAAUGAAGAUCGGGAAAAAGAAGAGGAUGAUGAAGUUGAGAUUAUAGUAGUGGGCUGCGAUGGAUAGAUGAGAGCAAACUACAAUCAGUUGUUCUCUUACUUACCAAUGAUGCCCUAUCACAGAGCCCAAAUUCUCAACUCCUUGGAUCACAUAUUUUAGACUUUCAAAGCCUAUCCAGCAAUCUCAAUGCUAGCUCGUGGAUUCCCAGGCAACCUCACGUUUGCUCAGAAGCUGAUUACUAAUCAUCCUUCUUCAGAAACUGGAUGUGAGGUAUAAUCAAUUCCCAUCUCUUUCAGAGUUAAUCACUGUCCUCCAUAAAAUUUCAACCAAUUCUACGAAUUGCCAAGAUGGUUGGAAGUGAUUCUUCACUCACUAAACCAAUUUCCAGCUACAGAGUCCCAACAUUCUGUAAAAUAUACCCAACUUUAUAUUGAUACAAUCUCCCACCAUUACUCACUCUACGAAUAUCAAUUCUACUCAGAUCUUAGAGUCACCCACUCAACCAGUGCCAAAAGCACCUCCUCCCAAAACCCAAACCCCAAUACAUGAACCUCCUUCGGAAAUUCCUUCCUCCUCAACCAACAACUACUUUGAUCUUGCUCUUGCUCUCUCAAACCUGCAAAACCAAAAUACAAGAGCCUCUCCUCCAAGCACCCAACAAAUACUUGAGCUUCUCUCAGAUCUUCCCACAAAAUCUGAGUUGUCCAAUGCAUCACUGAAAGUGACUACAGAUAUUCAAGAAAAUCUUGAAUCUCAUUCUCUACUUGUUCAUACAAGGCUGAACCACUUGAUAGAUACUGCCAACACUCUUCCUCACAAUCUAAGUUCUGAGCUCACAAAUAAGCUUAGGGAGAUCAUCAAGGAAAUGAUCUACAAGAUUAAUGAACGGGAUCAAAUUCACUUUCAGUCUGCCCGGAAGCUCAAGGAAGUAGUUAUCCUUCUGCAGAAGACUCAGGAAACUCAAAACAAACUUGUUAUGAAAAGUCUCUCAAGCCUGCGAUCUUCCAUUAAAGAAUUCAAAGAUUACUCUAUGAAUCAGAUAUAACAAACCAACACUGUCUUGGCCAUUCUACAAAAGCACAACGCUUAAACUGACUCUCUGGUUAGAGAAAACCGUGAAGACAUUGCUCAAUCCAGGAAUUAGCUCCACGAACUUGUCCAAUGUAUGAAUCGUCUGUCUGCAGACAUUCGAACCCUUGAUGCUGACAUAAAGGGGGAGAAUAAAAGGGAAGAAGAAAGAAAAAGGAAACUCAUUGCUCAAUCUUCAAGGAGCCCUCCCUCAAGACAGCCUCACUAUCAGACUCCACGACCUGAAUAGUAGCAGCGUCAGCCAAUUCUCAUGGAGCAACCGCUAAGGAGUCGAGGGUCAUCUCCUAGCUCACAAGGGGUAACCACUACUGGCUUGAACAUGCCGAUUAGAGAUCCUGCCUUUAUGAAUAGACAUGAUCAUGGAGAAAGGCUAAGUCAAAGCGAGCUGAAAGAUAUUGCAUGGAGAGAUGAAGCCAGCAGGAGAAGGAGAGCUGCAGAGCAUGCCAAUCCUCCAAGAAGUAAAAGGCAGAAGAAAUAGAGAUAAGUUGAAAUUUAUUUCUUAUGGAUGUAACUAUGCUUUAUUGUAAUAUCUGUCUCUACAAACAUCAAUAAAUUCAUACUUAUUCUCUAGAGAUUUCAAUUGCUCACUGAAACACUAAGUCCUAUUUACUUUAUAGCUACUACAUCUAGAAAUUGAUGAUUAUGAUACAAAUCUCCUUGGUUAUGUCAACAUCAAAUAUGGGGAGAUUGUUGGGUAUUGCAUAUUUAAAUUUGAUGUUGAAAGUAAAUAGUCAUGCUUAUAUGUAAAGUCCUUCAAAGAAUAUAUGUACAAGGACUUAGAUGAUAGAUCAAAACUAUUAGGUUGAUCUGUGCUUUAUGUUUAUCAUUCUGUAAAUGAAUGUAUAGAAGAAAUGAUCAAGGCUAUUAGGAUAAUCUAUUUUGAGAUAUAAUAGAUAGGCAUUAAUAGAAUCGUAGUCUGUCUUCUUUGGAGGGCCUCUCCUAGUAUCGUAGAGUGGUCCAAACGUCUGCCGAGCCAAAUCAAGAAUCAUAGUCUGUUCCCGGAACCGUAAAGUCUACAAAUCAAGUAAGCAAAGAUCGUAGUCUACCAUUGAUUAAGAGAAAUCAUAGUAUUCUACUCUAUCAGUCCAUAUCAAGCACGAAUGUGACAAGACACCAUGAUCAUGAUCGUAGUUCAUCAUCUGUCUGCAUCAGAAGCAUCGAGCUUUGUCCAUUUGUUGAAGAAUAAAUUAUAACAAAAGUGGAAUGGGUUAUAGACGUUGAGACUCUUAGGAAUCCCAAUGAACCAACACUCAUCCUUAGUAUAUAACAAAGAAACGUAUUGAAGAAGCUAAAGAAAGUACUACAUGUUAGCUGAAAACACCUUUUCAGGUGUUAGGUGAGAUAGCAGUCUGUUGUGUCAGUGGGCCAGACGGCUGAAUAGAAGAUUUCCAGGAAGUCACCAUCAGUGUUCAGAAAUGUCAAAUACAAUUAAUGCUUCAACGGAUGCCUUCAAACAGACAUAUUUCAAAGGAACCUUAUAUACAAAUCAGACGCAGAUGCAAGAGAGUAAGCAAGCACACAACGAAAAGCUGAAGAACACUUAACGCUCAACUCUAUGAUCAAGAAAGAAAGCUUGCUUAGUUACUCAGUUCUUUCGAACAUAUGCUUAACAACAACUGAGUAGCACAACCCAAAGAACUCAACUCUCAUCAAGUGUAUUCCAAGUCUACUGGACUUGAAGAGUACUAAGAAGUUCUAAGACUGCUGGUCUUGAAGGAGUUUAUGAGAUUCAAAGAUUGUAAAGACAUCCUUAGUGGAUUUCAUACUCGAGGAGUAGAAGAAUGGAUUGGGAGUCUUGAGUGCUCUAAACCACUUAAAUUCUCUGUGUCUUUUAUAUUCUUGCUUUAACUGCUACUGUUAUAACUGCUUAUCAACCAUUAACUUAGUUUAUCUUAAAGGGGAACAAACAAAUCAUAUAUUCCGCUGUGAUUAAUUUAUUAACAAAUCUAACAAAGUAUUUUGAAAAAGAAAUUUAAAAUAUCUAUUCAACCCCCCUUCUAGAUAACUAUUGUGCCUCUAGGAACUAACAGGUUCAUUGUUGAUAUUUGCAAGCAUGAAAAGCUUUUUACACCAAAGGUAUUACGAAAAGUAGAAUUUUUUCCUUUUGUGCUUUUGACUGAAUGGUAUAUAGUGUUAGUACUACUUAUCUUAUUAGUUUUUUUUUACACUUAGGUGUUUAAACUGAGUAAACAUGGAUGCACCACUGCACUUGACUCUGCUACUUUAAGGUAAUAAUAUCUUAUCAUUCUACGAAUUUUUAAAUUUAAUAUUUGAUAUAACUGCAAAAAUAGAGAAAAAGAAGGGUGGAUGUAAAAGAGUUAUUGGAUUUUGAAUUUGGGAGUUGGAGAUUUAGAGAUAGAGAGAGAAGGGAGGGUAAGUCUAGGUCUAGAUCAUAGUUUAUUGUUUUCAUAGGUUAUAUAUAUAUAUAUUUAUUAUAAAUAUCUACAUAUGUGUAUUUAUAUACAAUAAGAGUAGCUUGACUAUACUAAUUAAGAGUAACAUAAAUUAUAAACAAUAAAAAUCAAAUUAUUAGUACAAAAAAGUCCAUCAAUGCACAGUAGUUGUUGAUCCAAAAAGACACAACAUAAAAUAACAGUUUCUUUCAAGCAUUCAAAAAAGUUACAGUAUAAAGAAACAUGUUAUUUCAAGCAUUCCAAAAAGCAACAACAAAAAGUAACAAGUAUUUUCAAGCAUUCCAAACAGCAUAAAGUAAUAGGUAUUUUCAAGUAUUCCAAAGAUCAACUUCAUAAAGUAACAUGUGAUUGCACUACAACAUAACAAAUGUUAUUAUUUCUAUUAUGGAUUCGUUUAUGGUUGUGUAUGUGUAUGGUUGCACUACAUAUGAACAAAGUAUGGUUCAAUACAUUAUUGGUUUGAAAUAAAACAAUUAUUUUUAUUGGUUCAACACAAUUGUGUUGUGUUAAUUGUGGUUACUAAUCAACCCAUAAUCACUACUUGGUAGGAAUUGUGGAUGAGGUUUCAUGUAUCAUGUAUUUAUUUUGUUUGUCUCAAUAUGGUUGUGUUAAAUGAAGAUUUUGUAAUGUAAAAUUCACUUUUAGUGUAAGGAGCACAUUGUUCCUGGGAUGGUUAAGUGAAAAUUUUAAAAUGUAGAAUUCACUGUUAAUGUAAGUUAAUUUGAAACAUAUAUAGAUUCGAUUGGACGAAUUCGGUUCAUUGUUGAUAUUUGCAAGCAUGAAAAGCUUUCUUCACCAAAGGUAUUAUUACUAAAAGUAGAAUUUGUCCUUUUGUCCUUUUGACUGAAUGAUUUAUAGUAUUGAUGCAAACAAACUUUUUGGGAAUAAUUUUGUAGGUUAUUAUACUGACAAAUGCAAGAUUGCUCAAUUUAAAAGAAUUCAAUUGGACAUGAGGUACUACUUAUCUUAUUAGUUUUUUUUACACUCACGUGUGUUAAACUGAGUAAACAGGUUUGGAAAGAACAACACCAACUUGUACUCCAACAUGGAAGCACCAGUGCACUUGACUCUAUCACUUUAUGAUAAUAAUAUCUUAUCAUUCUAUGAAUGUUUAAAUUUAAUAUUUGAUAUAACUGCAAAAAAUAGAGAAAAAGAAUGGUGGCUGUAUGAGAGUUAUUAGAUUUUGAAUUCGGAGGUUGGAUAUUUAGAGAGAGAAAGAGAGAAGGGAGGGUAGGUCUAGGUCUAGGUCGUAGAUUAUUAUUUUUAUAGGUUCUAAAUAUAUAUUUAUAAGUAAUAUAUAUACAUAUAUAUAUAUUAUAAAUAUCUACAUAUAUGUAUUUAUAUACAAUAAGAGAGUAGUCUGACUAUACUAAUUAAGAGUAGCAUAAAUUAUAAAUAUAAACAACAAAAAUCAAAUUAAUAAUACAAAAAAGUCCAUCAGUGCACAGUAGUUGUUGAUCCAAAAAGCAACAUAAAAUAACAGUUUCUUUCAAGCAUUCAAAAAAGUAAUAGCAUAAAGCAACAUUGUGAGAUCCCGAAUUUUAUGAAAUGAAAGUAUUCAAUUUUCUUAUAAUUAUUAUUCUAUUUAGUAAAUGGUUAAAUUGAUAAAAAAUUAAAGUUAAGGGUGAUAUUUGAAUUUUUUUCAAAGUAAGCAAGUUGUCAUAAAAUAAUAGGUGAUAAAAGUAUAGUAAUACGCGUGGUUGCAUGGUAAGCACACGGUAUUGUACAAUAUUUUUGAUUAUUGAUGCUUACGUGAGAAGUCACUCAGUUUUAUUCAAUUAUUGUCACAAUAUUUUAUAUUACUAAAUCAAUAAUUGAGACGACAAAGUUAUUCAUAUUAUUAUUUGUAUUAUUGACAAUGUCUAGAAAGUUCUGUCGAAGAAAUGGGUUUGGUCACCUAAUUGCGCGCCAAUAGGGAGAAAUCCUUAUCAAAAAGCCCCCUCUUUCCUGGGAAUGAUCUAGAUGUUAAAUAUUGUGAGUUAUAAUAUUAAUGAUGAAUGUUAUUAAAAAUCGAAUUUGAGUUCAGAGUUGAAUUUGGAGAUGCGAACGUGAUAUUUGAGUUUGGGACGAUGAAAUUAGUAAAAAUAGACUAUAAACACAAAAUUUGUCGGGUUUGACUUUUUGGUCAACAGUUGACUUUUUCAAAAAAAGUUAAACUUUAAAAUUUUCAAAGAUGAAAUUGUUGAUAAAAAUAUUUCCAUUGUGUUGGGAUUAUUAGUGUUAGUGUAAAUCGUCAUUUAUUUCGAUAAUAAUUACUUUCUAGAGGUUAAAUUGACCAAUCGGGUAAUUAAUCGGAUAAAUGAGUAAUUAAUUGCUAUUAGUUCACACGCAUAUAACUAUUUGUUCACAUGAAUGGAACUAUUGAUUCACAUGCAUGUACUAUUGAUUCACAUGCAUGUACUAUUAGAGGAGGUGGUGCAAGUUUGAUAAUACUUGUAGGACUAAAUUAAAAAUGGAGGAAAAGAUGAAGGUACUAUUCUGUAAUAAUUCGAGCCCCAAAACAUGCAAUUAUUGAAACUAUAUUUUCCUAUAAAUAGAAGCUCAUUCUUCUUUCAUUCUCACCAAUUCACUAAGACUCACAAGAGCAACUAUAGUGAUAGAAACUAUAGAGAGGAAGAAGAAGUGUAUUCUGUUACUUCACUAUUGCAGUAUCCAGUCUUCUACUAAGGUAAGGGAUGUUAUUUUUUUUCAGUAUUCGUAAGAAAUAAUAUUUUAUUCCAUACUUUGUAGUAUAUGAGUAAUAUUAUUUCGUUUCGUAUUCCUAAUUCUACACUCAUUAUGUUAAAGUAUUGCUUCUAUACUCCGUGAAAUUAGUAGAAUAUCCUUGAAAUUUGCGCUUUAUCUAGUAUCGUUUCACAAAGAUAUUUUUCUAACCAUUCAUGUUAAAUUUUAAGCUUUUUAUGCCGGAGUACUGUUCACGAAAUACUAUUCACAAAAUACUAUUCACGGGAUACUAUUCACAAAGUAUUAUUUACGGGGUACUAUUCAUAAAUACUAUUCACGGGGUAUUAUUCUCGGAGUACUUUUUUUGAAGUACUAUUCUCGGGUACUAUUCACUUGGAAUACUAUUCACGACGAAAAAUUGAUUCUUUUUUGUCCAAAUUAAUUUUUGAUACAUGAAUAUUAUUCUUGAAUUUUACUCCACAAUUGGUGAUCAUGUUGACAAUUUAGAUAUUUUUAAACUCUGGAUAAAUUGAAUUAUAAAUCUUUAAUAUUUAUCCUUGAUUUCGUUUGAUUGAAUUCUUAUAUCAUUGUCAUCAUCUUUAUGCUUAUAUUGCGUUAAAAGUCAUCUUUGGCCUGUAGUACAUAGAUGGACUGUUGGUUAUUGGUUUUAUAGUUGAUAGCUUUGGCCCGUAGUGCAAAGAUGGACAGGUGUAUGACAUGAUCAUGACCACUGGUGAUACUAAUGAAUAUCCUUGGACGUAGUGCAUGGAUAAUUCGAUGAUGUGAUUGGCAGGAUCAUGACCAUUAGUUAACAGUUGAAUGUCUUUGGCCGUAGUGCACUGACAGACAAUUGAUUGGUAUGAUCAUGACCAUUGGUUUUAUAGUUGAAUAUCUUUGGCCCGUAGUGCAAAGAUAGACAACUGAUUAGUAUGAUCAUUGUUAUUGCACUUGAAUGUCUUUAGCCUUUGGGGUAAAGAUAUUGACUGAACGUUCUAUUAAGCCUUUGUGGCAAGGAGAAAUUGUGGAUGAGGUUUCAUGUAUUUAUUUUGUUUAUCUCAAUGUGGUUUUGCAGAAUGAAUAUUUUGUAAUGUAAAAUUCACUUUUAGUUUAAGGAGCACACCUGGGAUGGUUACGUGAAUUUUUUGAGAUUGGACGGAAUCGAUUCAUUGUUGAUAUUUAGAAGCAUGAAAAGCUUUUUGCACCAAAGGCAUUAUUACUAAAAGUAGAAUUUGUCAUUUUGUGCUUCUGACCGAAUGAUAUAUAGUAUUGAUGCAAACGUAACUUUUUUGGGAAUAAUUUUGUAGGUUAUUAUUUUGAUAAAGUCAAGAACACUAACUUGUACUGGAACAUGGAAGCGUCACUGCACUUGUCUCUACUACUCUAAGGUAAUAAUAUCUUAUCAUUCUAUGAAUAUUUAAAUUUAAUAUUUGAUAUAACUGUAAAAAUAGAGAAAAAGAAUGGUGGAUGUAAGAGAGUUUUUGGAUUUUGAAUUCGGAGGUUGGAGAUUUGGAGAGAUAUAGAGAGAAGGGAGGGUAGGUCUAGGUCUAGGUCG
Molecule: long non-coding RNA, 23435 nt
Filed under: Panax ginseng (ginseng)
Lineage: Eukaryota; Viridiplantae; Streptophyta; Magnoliopsida; Apiales; Araliaceae
Description: long non-coding RNA (PGIN_LNC004666)
Source: RNAcentral